Cucurbita pepo subsp. pepo (vegetable marrow) is the source of this 507-nucleotide long non-coding RNA. RefSeq lists it as uncharacterized. The record is from RefSeq and is a predicted model, not a curated record. Lineage: Eukaryota; Viridiplantae; Streptophyta; Magnoliopsida; Cucurbitales; Cucurbitaceae.
ACGAGGAGAAGCCAUUGUUGGAAUCAAUUCCUUUCCGUGGUUCAUCUUCAACACUAGAAAUUCCUGAAUGUUGACCUGUUCGGUGCUGAAGGAAAAGCUUCUCAAUAACUCCUCAUGAACUGCAGUCCUCAUCUGUUCCAGCUCAAGAGUUGCACAAAAAAGCGAAUGCCUCAAUUCUUCAAUGUUCUGUUUGAAAGCACACAAACCCAACAAAGAAAUCAGAAAUGGAAACAAACCCAGAAGCCAAAUUCUGGAAAUAUUGAUGAAAAGAAGAACUUUUUUACCAUUCCUUGGAAGAAGUAAGCCCAACCCAGAAAAGCGCUGCAUUGGUUGUCCAUAACAGUUUCAGAGAGAGAGAGAAAGUGAGUAUCAGUUGGUUGGAGGAUUGAUACUCAUAAUGUAAACAUUAUAUGAUGCGAUAUUUAGAGCAUUUUAAUGAAAUGUAAAUAACUAAAAACAAAUAUUGCAUGUGAGAUAUGGAUAUUUCAUGCAUCCAUUUCUGACUUA